RNAcentral lists this ribosomal RNA (777 nucleotides) under uncultured Neocallimastigales. RNAcentral describes it as "partial large subunit ribosomal RNA". It matches the Rfam family "Eukaryotic large subunit ribosomal RNA", at positions 24 to 614 of the family's 3401-position model. Lineage: Eukaryota; Fungi; Neocallimastigomycota; Neocallimastigomycetes; Neocallimastigales. The record is from RNAcentral.
UAUCUCUGUAGAGUCUGCAUAUCAAUAAGCGGAGGAAAAGAAACUAACUAGGAUUCCCUCAGUAACGGCGAGUGAAGCGGGAAGAGCUCAAAUUUGAAAUCUUCAAGGUUUUACCUUGACGAAUUGUAGUUUAAAGAAGUGUUUUCUGUUGGAGUUUUGGUAAAAGUUCUUUGGAACUAGGACAUCAUAGAGGGUGAGAAUCCCGUAUUUGACCAUUACUUUCCAGCGUUGUGAUACACUUUCAAAGAGUCGGAUUGUUUGGGAAUGCAGUCCAAAAUGGGUGGUAAAUUUCAUCUAAAGCUAAAUAUUGGCGAGAGACCGAUAGCGAACAAGUACCGUGAGGGAAAGAUGAAAAGAACUUUGAAAAGAGAGUUAAACAGUACGUGAAAUUGUCAAAAGGGAAGCGUUUGACACCAGUGUUGUUUUCUCGAAAAUCAAUUAAAAAGUGUUGGAUUUUGUAGUUGUAUAGACCUUAUCAGCUUACUGUACUCUUUUCCUCAUCUUUUUAAUGCACUUUUCGUUUAACAAGUCAACAUCAAUUUCUUUUGUUGUAAAAGAGUCAUUGGAAGGUGGCUUUCUUUUCGGAGAAAGUGUUUAUAGCCUUUGGCUUCUGCAAUCGGAGAGAUUGAGGUCUGCAGCGUAGAUCCUUCGGGGUUAGAUACAUUUGUGCUAAGUUAUAGCCUUUCAUAGACAACUUGUUGACUAUGAUCAGUCAUGUAGCUUACUCGCUUAUGCUAUUUUACCUACGCUUAGGAUGUUGAGUCAUCACACAUCUCU